This 228-nucleotide long non-coding RNA is filed under the name Gallus gallus (chicken). Lineage: Eukaryota; Metazoa; Chordata; Aves; Galliformes; Phasianidae. The record is from RNAcentral.
CUCGGUGAGUUGCUGCCGUGAUGCAAGAAGCCAUUUCAAAUGCAUAAGUGAUCAGCAUCAGAAUAAUAUACACCAGUAGCAAAGUCUUGCUGGACUUCAUGACUCCAACGAUGCCGAGGAUAGACAGAGCAAGGAGUGCAAAGCCAACAAAGAUACCUAUCCAGGCCGCAGCAUAGAUGUCAUUGUUUUCUGUGGCUUCCAGCAAUGGGUAGAGACCGUGGGGAUCCG